Molecule: ribosomal RNA, 477 nt
Filed under: Candidatus Scalindua marina (nom. nud.)
Lineage: Bacteria; Pseudomonadati; Planctomycetota; Candidatus Brocadiia; Candidatus Brocadiales; Candidatus Scalinduaceae
Description: bacterial SSU rRNA
Rfam family: Bacterial small subunit ribosomal RNA
Source: RNAcentral
UUCGCAAUGCCCGAAAGGGUGACGAAGCGACGCCGCGUGGGUGAGGAAGGCCUUCGGGUUGUAAAGCCCUGUCAGGAGUUAAGAAAUGUAAGUGCGCUAAUAUCGCAUUUAUUUGACGAAGGCUCCAAAGGAAGCCACGGCUAACUCUGUGCCAGCAGCCGCGGUAAUACAGAGGUGGCAAGCGUUGUUCGGAAUUAUUGGGCGUAAAGAGCACGUAGGUGGAUUUGUAAGUCAGAUGUGAAAGCCUUCUGUUCAACGGGAGAAUUGCAUCUGAAACUACAGACCUUGAGUAUAGGAGGGGAGAAUGGAACUUCUGGUGGAGCGGUGAAAUGCGUAGAUAUCAGAAGGAACGCCGGCGGCGAAAGCGAUUCUCCGGCCUAUUACUGACACUCAGUGUGCGAAAGCUAGGGGAGCAAACGGGAUUAGAUACCCCGGUAGUCCUAGCCGUAAACGAUGGGCACUAAGUAGAGGGGUUUU